RNAcentral lists this ribosomal RNA (253 nucleotides) under uncultured bacterium. RNAcentral describes it as "partial 16S ribosomal RNA". It matches the Rfam family "Bacterial small subunit ribosomal RNA", at positions 524 to 776 of the family's 1533-position model. The record is from RNAcentral.
CACGUAGGGUGCAAGCGUUGUCCGGAAUUAUUGGGCGUAAAGAGCUCGUAGGCGGCCUGUCGCGUCGGAUGUGAAAACUCGGGGCUUAACCCCGAGCCUGCAUUCGAUACGGGCAGGCUAGAGUUCGGCAGGGGAGACUGGAAUUCCUGGUGUAGCGGUGAAAUGCGCAGAUAUCAGGAGGAACACCAAUGGCGAAGGCAGCUCGCUGGGACGGUACUGACGCUGAGACGCGAAAGCGUGGGGAGCAAACAGG